RNAcentral lists this ribosomal RNA (253 nucleotides) under uncultured bacterium. RNAcentral describes it as "partial 16S ribosomal RNA". It matches the Rfam family "Bacterial small subunit ribosomal RNA", at positions 524 to 776 of the family's 1533-position model. The record is from RNAcentral.
UACGUAGGGGGCUAGCGUUGUCCGGAAUCAUUGUGCGUAAAGCGCGCGUAGGCGGCCCGGUAAGUCCGUUGUGAAAGUCAGGGGCUCAACCCUUGAAUGCCGGCGGAUACUGUCGGGCUAGAGUCCGGAAGAGGCAAGUGGAAUUCCCGGUGUAGCGGUGAAAUGCGCAGAUAUCGGGAGGAACACCUAUGGCGAAGGCAGCUUGCUGGGACGGUACUGACGCUGAGACGCGAAAGCGUGGGGAGCAAACAGG